AUUCGUUGGAUGAGUGUGAGGCAUUGGAUCGAUUUCACUCAAUCCAAGCCCCACAUUCAUCAGAGGUUCGU
Non-coding RNA from Nicotiana sylvestris (wood tobacco), 71 nucleotides. The record is from Rfam. Lineage: Eukaryota; Viridiplantae; Streptophyta; Magnoliopsida; Solanales; Solanaceae.